RNAcentral lists this ribosomal RNA (305 nucleotides) under uncultured bacterium. RNAcentral's name for it is "bacterial SSU rRNA". It matches the Rfam family "Bacterial small subunit ribosomal RNA", at positions 338 to 657 of the family's 1533-position model. The record is from RNAcentral.
CCUACGGGGCGCAGCAGUGGGGAAUAUUGGGCAAUGGGCGCAAGCCUGACCCAGCAACGCCGCGUGAAGGAAGAAGGCUUUCGGGUUGUAAACUUCUUUUCUCAGGGACGAAGCAAGUGACGGUACCUGAGGAAUAAGCCACGGCUAACUACGUGCCAGCAGCCGCGGUAAUACGUAGGUGGCAAGCGUUAUCCGGAUUUACUGGGUGUAAAGGGCGUGUAGGCGGGAAAGCAAGUCAGAUGUGAAAACCAUGGGCUCAACUCCGGGACUGCUUUUGAAACUGUGUUGCUAGAUUGCAGGAGAGG